This 467-nucleotide ribosomal RNA is filed under the name uncultured bacterium. RNAcentral describes it as "partial 16S ribosomal RNA". It matches the Rfam family "Bacterial small subunit ribosomal RNA", at positions 28 to 507 of the family's 1533-position model. The record is from RNAcentral.
GACGAACGCUGGCGGCGUGCUUAACACAUGCAAGUCGAACGGAAAGGCCCUGCUUUUGUGGGGUGCUCGAGUGGCGAACGGGUGAGUAACACGUGAGUAACCUGCCCUUGACUUUGGGAUAACUUCAGGAAACUGGGGCUAAUACCGGAGAGGAGCUCCGGAUGGUGGGGGGGGUUGGGAAAUUUCGGGGGUUGGGGAUGGGAUCUCGGCUUAGCAACUUGGUGGGGGGGGAGUGGCUUAACAAGGCUUUGACGGGGUGGCCGGCUGGGAGGGUGACCGGCCACAUUGGGACUGAGGUACGGCCCAGACUCCUACGGGAGGCAGCAGUGGGGAAUAUUGCACAAUGGGCGGAAGCCUGAUGCAGCAACGCCGCGUGCGGGAUGACGGCCUUCGGGUUGUAAACCGCUUUCGCCUGUGACGAAGCGUGAGUGACGGUAAUGGGUAAAGAAGCACCGGCUAACUACGUG